GGGGCUCUUUGCCGCCCGCUCUCGCUUUGUCUCCGCUCGCCGCUUGCGCUUGCUCCAGGAAGCAAUCUCACAAAUAGAAUUGCAUCGUCGAUCGGCUCGGGCAGCUUUAUCUCGUGUUUACGGUAGAAAAAGCGCCUCAUUACUGCUAAAGAGCUGAGUGUUUUUUUCGAGAGCGAUUAACGUUUAUUUCCGGUGGCUGAUGAAGCUAUCGAGUAAGCUGCACGCAACGAGCUUAUAAUUAGGAUGAGCUUUGCCUUCCAUACUUUGACGUACGUGAAGACUGGAGCGUUUACGUGGGCUUCGUGCAUUCUUAUCAGCUCCACUGUCGCAGAACAACAAACAAACAUCGGCAUUGCGUAAUUUCGGAUCGACGGGGCAGGUCGACUCCAGCACUACAUUUAUUAUAUAAGCUACUUGACCCGCUGCUCUCGAUAGCCCGCGCAAGGCUGCAUUAACGAGUGACAGCUUUUUUAGGGAAAAAAAUUUUUCGGUAAAAAAGCCGUUCUUGCAUUGCAGACUCGAUAUUCGAUCGGCGCGGGGUCAUCGCUCUCCAAAAAAACAGCAGCGGCGCCGGCAAUUAAGUAGCGUUAUGUGCUCAAUGUAUGUAACACGCAUCAAUGUUGCGCGUGGUAGAGAGAGAGAGAGAGAGAGAGAGAGAGAGAGAGAGACGGCGAUAUGAAUUGCGUGGCCGGCCAGAGAACGCAUGCCGAUCACGUGAGACCAAUUUCGGCUGAUGAAACGGAAGCCGCUCGAGUUUUCAGGUCUACGCAGUAUUAUCAUGCCGCGGGCACGCUAUGAGCUUUAUAUCGAUGGUGUUCGGCGUUAUUGAGUCAUAGUUCAGUUGGGGUGGGGGUGGUCGUUAUUCGCUGCUACCGGGUGCCUUCUGUUAUUCGAUUUGUUUUUCGUUGCGCAAUACCGGACGAUAUUCACUCCGGUGGACUUUACUCUGUGUUCCUUGGCUUUGGCACGAGAGGAAAAUAACGCGAAACUUUGUUCUUUAUUUUUCUGUGCAAUAAUAAUAAUGCGUUCGAUAGUACAAUAGCGCAUAAUCAUCAGACUGCAUUCGUGCACAAGUACUUCAAUCAAGCUUCGCCGUAAAUGAAAUAUGUUGAGUUUUUUAACAAUAUAAAUCACCACCCACGCGGUGAAUCAGUUGAUAAUCCAUUAUUUCACACACAAGAAAGCUUUGAGAAUUGUCGGGUUUACCUGCAACAGUGACACAGGUAAAUCGACCAGAUCGCGAAAAAUUCACUAUGUUGCCGAUGUAAAUAGUUUGGCUGUAUUUCCAUUACAGAGAAUGUUCGGUUAACCAAGUUUCUCAGUGAGAGAGGAAUCGCGACCAUAUUCACGAGACCAAAAAUUGCUUCGGGAUUGUAUCGUUCAGUGAAAGACAUGGCCAGCCAGGGGUUGUCGUUUACUUGUGUUGCCACAAUGAUAACCUUACUUCUCAAGUGUUCUCUUAGGUACAAAUUGUUCAUUAGACAUGAAAUGAAAAAAGAAUGUUUUAAUUUGAAAAUAAAAUUUACCAUAAUCAGACGAGCAGUCAUAAGCUCUAGAACGAACUCCACUAUUGGUUCCUAAUCGCCCCCCUGCAGUUUUCAAAUAUUUGACUUAUUAACGGACUUAGCUGUAGCUCAACAAUCCUCGAUCAGUUCAUAUGUUCUCUACGAUCUUUACAAUCCAUUUAAAGCACGGGGUUGCAAAUUAAAUGUCACCAUCUUGGGAUUCUGGAACUCAUCGGACUUGUAGCCGAUGUCACAAGACGGUUGUGGCACCGGCUGCCGUGAUUUCAUAUCGGCUGACAAUGUCUUCAAAUAAAAACUCAUUUUUUUCUAAAUAAAUUACACAAGGAGUUAUCGUUAUUGUUAAAGUAAGUUUUGUAAAAACGGCAAAUUUAAAUUUUAAAAAAGAAAAGAAUAAUCAGUAAAUACUUCAGCAAUUAAAUCACUGGGGGGAAACAACGUGAUCUCACAUUCGCUAUAUGUCACAAUUUACGAUACAUACAGCGAAUGACGAAACAAAAACGGCGAUUUUAAUGAACGUUUAUUGAUAUUCUUUUCUGACAAUAGAAUCUCUUAUUGCGCGCAGUCGUCAUGAAGACAAUAAGUUAAUCAAUCGAUCAUAUAAUGCGGAUUCGAUGCACAUCAAUAUCAAAUAAAUACUGGGGAUUCAAGGUUCAUUUAACUAUGUUCCGGGGAAAUAAACUUUAGCAAAAAUGUUGCGUUUUAGCUCAUUUUCAAUAUUGCGACGUAGUUGUUGUAUCAUAACAGUACUACAAUGUUUCUGUAAUAUUAUGUGGCCAUUCAAAAUUAACUUUCCGCCUUGUUGCUUAGCUAUUGAAUAUCCUAAUUAAUUUACUUAUCGUAUAGCUAUUGUAUUCCUGGGGGCGAGUUUAAUCAAGUCCGAAAUAAUGUAUCAAGGCGCGUGAUAGUGCCGCACUAUAGCGAGUAAAACGCGUAUGAAAAAUUGUUUGUGGUUUUGAAUUUACGAUUUAGCAGUAAAGCAGAAACUACGUUCUAACCAUCCCGUAGAUAUUGUCGCGCAAAGAAUAAAUGAUAAGUCUUCAUAAAUAACGAGAAGGCGAAGUCACAAGUGGACACCAGAGUGAAACAUUGUCGAUAAUUCCAUCAAACUCGCAGACUUGAGCAUUGGGGACGAUUGAAUCGUCAGUGUUUGCGUUUCAGCAAAUCAUCCUUUGAAAACGUAUAGCCAAUAGAAAAAACCUUUUUAAUGUUCAUUGAGUCGAAAUUUCCGUUAGAUUGGGGAUGAUGAGAUUCCGAUUGGUUCUCGUCAGUCUGUUCAUCAUCAGUGUCCGGAAAUGUAGAAAGUGAUUUGAUCUUGGAUUAUUUCGUGUACAAAGGAACGCAAAAUGUUAUCGGUCUUACUUGCGACGAAAUCUAAGGUAUUUUUGCGUGUUAUUACAAAACUAAAUCGUUGGUUAGAUACGCAGCUGAUACAUUGUGAUUCACGAGAAUCAUUCCCAAUUGAAUUAUCAAACAGUUAUUUUUUUUGCAGACGACAUCGUUUUAAUAAGGAAUUUCAGUCAAUUUGGUAUUGCAGCAACUCUGAGGCACGCCAGCGACGAAUCUCUGCUUAAGCACCUCUUAUAAAUUCCAAGUACUACAAGCUGGGCGUGUACGUCGACAUUCGCUGUAACGAUAGCGUCAGUAUCUCCAACAUGUUUUUUCAGGCAAUUUAAAAACAGUGUAUACACAUUGCUUAGCCCUCUAAAAUUUCUACAAGUGCAUUUUUUUUUAAAUUCCGGACUAAUGACUUCGCGCCGUCCCGAUACCGAGAUUUGCAUCCGCCGACCACGUGGAUUGCAGCUUCGAUCUGUACGAUGUGUACAAUCCUUUCAAGAGGUGAGGUGGAAAAUUUAACGUCACCUUUCUCGGCGCCUGGAAGCGGAUGUAGGGCCACGAAGUCCAGCUGACGCAGAGCAAAUAUGACAGGAGAUCGAAUCUUCACGGCAUGACGUAGAAGGUGUCGUUCUUCGGGUAUGUUUAUUCGUUGCUCAUUUGAAUUCGCAAGGCACUCUGAUACAGUUUGAAUAUUUCAUAUCAUGCGGCACACCGAUUUUAGAUUGCAUUCUAAAAUAAGCUUAUUUCUUUUGGACACUUGUGAAUUUCUCUGACUGAUGAAUUAACUAAUAUGAUAAAUUUACCAAAGAGUAGAUAAAGACUUAGAAAUGUAUCGUUGGAGGAUCACUUUCAAGAUAUUGAGAAAACAGGUACAAAGGACAGACUGUCCAAGUUCGGCUUUAACAUAGUCAAGCAUCUCGCAGAGAUAUAUAAUGUACAGUAAGUUUAUAACUAUAGACGAGAAAACUGAAGACAGAAGACAGAAGAAACUACUUCAUGUUCCGAAGCCCACUGUUGAGAGACGUAAGAUUCAGGAGGUGUUGCGCACUCUAGUAACGAAAGUCUGGUACCUGUCCAGUGCAAUGACUAUCUUGAUUAUGGUUACACUAACUGUAAACUUUAGUUUUGAACUGUUUGAAAUCUAUUUUAUCCUGAGGUAUUUCAUAUCAUUUCUGAUAACGAUUAGAUGCUUAUUUCAACAAAGUGAACCAAUAAGGUAGUAGACGCAGCUAUCCCAUGAGGAAACGUAUAAUGAUAUCACAUCGUCACAUUGGAAGUUCGAGCAAAUUAGUAUAUACUUUUACGCAAGUUAAAUUGGACAAAGUUUAGUGUUGCAUCAUUACGUGGAAUUCUGAUAAAGACUGUACAGGGUACAGCUUGAUAAAACUAGUGAGAUUAAGUUAUUGACCAAUUUGAUUUAUUGAAAUGUGUAUAUUCAUUUUGCUGUGUAUUUAGCACUUUUUUACGUAUACUAUGUAGAAGUAUAAAAUACCAUCUAAAGUUAGUAAAGUUUGCCAUGACAUAAUCACAAAAUAGCAAUGAAAACUUGUGUAAAAGCAAAUAGGAAUAAUUCAAUUUUUCAAUGUUCAAAAAUUAUUUUUUUUUAAAUAGUACACAAUUUAUGUUAAUGAUGUAUUUUGUAAAGUUAAAAAAGCUAAGUUGUCCAUUGAGGAUGUAAAAAUAAUACUGGUAUUUUUUAAAUGGCGUGUAGCAUCGACGAAACUUCUUAUAUGGAUGAUAAUAUUUUACGUGAAUUUGCUUUAGUAAAUAUUGUAGGACCGUCACGCAAUGCUGUCCCAUGACCUGUAUAUUGCACAUCGCAUUUCCCUCACGCCGACAUUCGAGGAUAAUAAUAGCAUUACUGCUUUUUGAUUGUCGUUUUUUAUGAUAGUUUACAUUUGCCUGACAAUGAAAAUGUAUCACUGUGAAAAUCAGGGGUAUGAAAUUUUAACGCGUUAUAAGUGGAUAUGUAUAUAAUUUUUUGCACAGCUAACAAUUAAUCAUUUUUCUGUUAUACAAGUUAGUCGAUACAUAAUACCACGUAAAUGUAUCGAAAUGAUGAUUGAUUUAUGGCUUCGUCAGCGUGAUGUGACUGAAGAUGUGGUAAAUAAAUAAGUCAAAGCUUACGGUGGCAUCGAUUACCCCACUACCCUACCGCUAGGUUUCAAGUUUAAUAAAAAACGAAAAUAGCAUAUUAUAAUGGAAAUAACAUUAUUAUUUUUACUGUGUAUCUUCAGUAAAAUUCGCGGGUGCGAUGAAAAUGAUUUCAUACUGGAUUACUUUGUGCACAAAAAAGCUUCAAGUGUUAUCGGAUUCUCUUGCGACAGUGAAUCAGAUAAUCUCGAAUUGAUGAAAAAUUUUAGUCAAGUAGGCAUCAGGAGCAUUGUUACGAAACUAAAGAGCCCUUCACAUGUAAAAUAUCUAGUUACUUCAACAUAUUGGAAACUGGGAAUUUUCUUGGAUCUGAGAUGCUACGAUGGUUACAGACUCAGUUGGAUAUUUAAAGAAGCGUCAAAUAAGUGGUUGUACGGCGAGUCCCACUACUGGCUGGUACUGGGUUGGGAGUUGGAGGACGUGACGAGUAAGAUCAACGACGACGCUUUCACGCUCUCAACGGACUUCGUGAUCGCAGUGCCGUCGAUCCUCGUCAAUGACACUUACGAGCUCUACGACAUGUACAACCCAUGGAAGGACGGCGGGGGACAGAUCAACGUCACCCGCUUGGGCAGCUGGAGUCACACCGCCAAGCUCAGCGUUACUCUCACACAGAGCAAAUUUCUAAGGCGCGCUAAUCUUCACGGGAUCAAUAUGAGAGUUGCUUUCUUUGGGAGUAAAUACAAGCCAAAGAAUACGUCUAUUGAAGAGUACCUGCAGGAUUAUUCAACCAAAUCAAAAGAUGGAUUAUCUAAGUUUGGUUUUAUAAUACUGACGCAUCUGUCGGAAAUGUUUAAUAUCACAUUUCAUUUUGGCGAGGUGCAAGUAUGGCAGCCAGGAGAUACGAUCGGCCCGUUGUCGCGAGCGCUAAUAAAAAAUGAAAUACAAAUUACUGGUAGUCCAGUGGUCAUGACCUUGGAGAGGCUUGGUUUAAUAAAGUUUGUUUACCCCACUUGGCCGUUUCGGACUUGUUUUAUAUUUCGUAAUCCGCAACCGAAGGAAAUAAAGAUAAAUGAGAUUCUUCAUCCAUUUUCCACGAGGAGCUGGUAUAUGAUGCUUCUAUUUUUGGUAAUAUUUUUUAUCAUAACAGCUUUGACUUUUCGAUACGAAGAAGAGCUUUCACACUCCAUCUAUUCAAAUUCCUUUCUCACGGUCUUGGGAGCACUGUGUCAACAAAGCACCAGUUACGUUAUGGACCACCUGUCCACCCGCAUACUUUUUCUUUACUUGAUGAUAUUCAGCCUACUAACGUACAACUACUACUCAGCCAGUAUCGUUUCAGCCCGUCUCAAUGAGCCAAUUUUUAAGAUAAACGAUUCUCUGAAUGAGCUCGCAAAAACUAAAUUGAAGCUAGCUUCCGAGCCAAUGAUUUACUUUAACUUUAUCAUGCGGCGCGUACCCCCAAGAGAACUUGAAUUCUUCUACAAGACGAAAUGGCUAACUAUUCCUGAGGACGAUAAAUUUAUGUAUCCAGAAAAGGCAAUACGUUUAGUACAACAGGGUGGAUUUGCCUACCACACACAUCCAGACGUUGGAUACCCGCUUAUAGAUCGAAUCUUUAGUUUCCGUGAGAUUUGCGAGCUGAUGGAGGUCCACGUUCAACCAAAGAUCUUCGCUACUAUUGCCGUCACUUACAACAGUAGCUUCGUUGAGAUAACGAAGAUCGGAUUCGCCAAAAUGUCGGAAGUCGGGAUUCGAAACCGACAAUUGAUAAGGUGGACGUCAAAUAAACCUCGUUGUCGAAAAGAAGUCAUGAAUAUUUCAAGUACGGAUAUUUACGAGUUCGCACCUCACCUAAUUAUUCUGGCGUUGGGAAUGAUACUAGCCUUGGCAUUGCUAAUUGCCGAACUGGUCAUUCAAAGUUAUCAACAAUCGAGAAUGAGAAUGCAGAGAAGGCAUUGCUCUACUAUAUUACAAAUUGUUGAUGUAGUGUGCAAAAAUCGAUAAAAAAAAUUGUCGAAUCAUCGAUAAUGACUACGAUUUUGGAUUUGCUUUUGUUUAGGUCAUCCAUAACUAGAAACUAAAUAAUAAAAUGACGAAUGCACGCGAUGCUUUAUGUUAGACAAUACAUUCUAUUAUAGUCCAAUUGUGAGCGAAAUACGCAAAUAGUGAUGUCGAUAUAUUGAACAAAGAAUAACAACGUCUUGUGAACGUGUUAGAGUUAAUGUUGUCUAGAAACUUGUCUGUAAUGAAAUUUAGAUUGUCGUUUUUAAUGUUUUUUAUGAUUACUGUCUGUGGAAAUCAAGACAUGAUUGUCGAUUACUUUAUUGCCAAAAGUACUCCCAGUGUAGUUGGAUUUUGUUGUAAAAAUAUCACACGUAAUAUGUAUACAUUAUGAUGUUUUAAGUAUAAUAGCAUAUUUUGUUAUAACAUAAGAAAUUGUGUCUAUUUCUGUAGAAAAUUUCUUACUAACUAGGCGGUUUGAUGCUUUAGGAGUUAGAACAAUUAUUGAUAACUUAGAAAACCAACAAAAAAUAUAUCCAAUGAUGAAUUCCAAAUAUUGGGGGCAUCGAAUUACAGACUAUACGACGAGCUGCACCAUUGGCUGGUGCUAGGAUGCAGCCUUGAUACGGUCGUGAAUCUGUUAGAUGACAGUGCAUUCGGGCC
Nasonia vitripennis (jewel wasp) is the source of this 7622-nucleotide RNA transcript. It is a transcript of the gene named ionotropic receptor 75a, with no coding region annotated. Lineage: Eukaryota; Metazoa; Arthropoda; Insecta; Hymenoptera; Pteromalidae. The transcript has 11 exons. The record is from RefSeq and is a predicted model, not a curated record.